Bos taurus (domestic cattle) is the source of this 894-nucleotide long non-coding RNA. The record is from Ensembl. Lineage: Eukaryota; Metazoa; Chordata; Mammalia; Artiodactyla; Bovidae.
UCCCAGGUGGCUCAGUGGUAAAGAAUCCACCUGCCAGUGCAGGAGACAUAGGUUCUGAUCCCUGGGUUGGUAAGAUCCUCUGGAGAAGGAAGUGGCAACCCACUCCAGGAUUGCCUGGGAAAUCCCAUGGACAGAGGAGCUUGGCAGGCUACAGUCCAUAGGGUUGCAAAAGAGACAUGACUUAGCAGCUAAACAACAGUCAGCAAGUAUCUCUGCUUGAUUCAAGGACCCAGGCUGACCAAGACCCUACCAAAUUGCAGGCACUCCAUAUGGAACACAUACCUUCCUCAAUUAGAAAAGAAGAGAGGCUGAAAAUUAUACAUAAGCUGCUUAUUCCUUCACUCUGAAGAUCUCUUUGGCUCCCAUUUCAUUGGCCAAAACUAGUCACACAGGUUCACAAACCAUAAAGAGGCUGAGAAAUGGAGGAGGAACCAAAUGAAACAUUUGACAAAUGAAACAUUUGGUGCAUGCUAAAAUAAUUGCAGGCUGGGUUCCUGCAACCUCAUCAAGACAAGGAAGUUUGAUAAAAAUGCUGGAAAAUUUGAACAGGUCCUACUGACUAGAGUCACAAGACAAGAUUGUGCCAAUAACUCUGUGCAUGCCUGGUCACUAUGAGAAAACCCUUCCCAGGCAACUUCCCUGGGAGAUGUCCUAGGAACCCAUCUACAUCUUAUGUUUUGUCUACCCCAGAUUCUAUGACCUCAGCUAUCAUGGAAAAAGUGUAAUUUGGCACAACUCCAUAGUUCUUGACCAAAACUAAGUCUUAGGUUUUUUAAAAAGUAAUAUAAUUUUAUAAUCCCACAGCCCUACCUCUGAAAUCUAAAAAUCUCUUAAAACUGGAAUCUUAUUCAUUACCCUGUUGGCAAUAAAACCCGACCCAACUCAGACUCAUUU